ACAUCACUUUUUUCUCUCAAUUUUUCAUUUAUAAUCAGACCGAUACAAUCUCCCUCUAACCUUCGAUUAGGGCUUUUCUAUGAAUAAUAACUUCUCUUCGACGCCGUACCUCCGCCGCCGCGUUCGCCUCCACCUCCGCCUCCGCCAUUGCCGCUAAUGCCGAGCCGGCAUCUCUGUUGCUACUUCUUCCCUCAUGAUCGAACUAAUCAUUGUGAAGACAAAUUGAAAAAGGCGAAAAUCUUUCAACUCUGCAGGUGUUUUGAAUCACCCGUGGAUUGCGUGACAGGAUGCUUUCGAAGAAUUUGGUUACCGAAAUACUUGUGCAAUCUUCCCCGAGACCAAAAUGACACUAAACAGAUUCUCGUGUAUAGCAUUAGCUAGUGGCAACAGAGUUUCUGUAUGGUACUGCAGAAGGAGGCCUUUCAGAUAUCAACACGUUGCUGGAUGGCAGAAAAUAUAGGCAUUUUUUAUGGCCAAGAAGAGCGGAAGCAAUUAAGUCAGGGAGGACUUGCCAUGGUUCAGUUGUUGGAAUGGUUUGAUAUAUCUUACGCCAUUUCAAUAUUUUUUCAUAAAUAUAUGAUGAGUUAAUUUUAUCCAGCCUUGCUAUCUGAUUUCAAAAUUUUUAUGCCGACUGCUACUUUAUCACUGAAAACUAUAUGAUGAACUUUACAAAUUAGGGGAUUAAGAUCAAAGAUUGGCAGCAAUAAAGGGCCUGCUCUAUUGUAUCGAAAUGUUCUGUUUCACCUAGUAAAGUUAUUGGAUUGCUACUGACAAUAUGCCUAUAUCCAGGUUAGGUUAGCAUCGUAAUUGUGGGUUGCAACAUUGUUUGCCGAAUAUCAGAAAAAAUCUCAAAAAGACUUUCUUGUUCUCAUUGUCAUAUGUGCUGAACCACUUUUUCUGGGGUUUUAGAAUUUCAUGGUCUUUUGCACAAAAAAAGUUGUAUACAACAAGUUUUAUAAGCUUUAGAAACAUGAAUUUUGCUUACUCAGGAACACUAACUUUUUUUUUUCUUCUUUGAUUGUUCAGGAACACAUUUUACAUUGGAGCAUGGGAGCAAGGACAUUUUGUUGAACUAAGGAUAUGUAGACUUUGAAAGUAAAUGUAUUGUGUAGGUUACUUCAAGUGUUGUUUUGAAGAUAGAUUUUUUGAAGUUUGGUAUUGUAUAUUUUUGGAAAGCAAUAAUUCAUGUUUUGGGGAAUCCGAGUGAUUUUUAGCAUGUGUUUAUAUUCGUAUUGGAAAAUUAUACGAAUUUUUGGCAUGCGGUUAAAUUUUUGUAAA
Molecule: non-coding RNA, 1278 nt
Organism: Erythranthe guttata (spotted monkey flower)
Lineage: Eukaryota; Viridiplantae; Streptophyta; Magnoliopsida; Lamiales; Phrymaceae
Source: RefSeq, a predicted model, not a curated record